RNAcentral lists this ribosomal RNA (443 nucleotides) under uncultured prokaryote. Its description in RNAcentral is "bacterial SSU rRNA". It matches the Rfam family "Bacterial small subunit ribosomal RNA", at positions 355 to 796 of the family's 1533-position model. The record is from RNAcentral.
UAGGGAAUAUUGGUCAAUGGGCGAGAGCCUGAACCAGCCAUGCCGCGUGCAGGAUGACGGCCUUAUGGGUUGUAAACUGCUUUUAUACGGGAAGAAAAAGUCCUUGCGAGGAAAAUUGCCGGUACCGUAUGAAUAAGCACCGGCUAACUCCGUGCCAGCAGCCGCGGUAAUACGGAGGGUGCAAGCGUUGUCCGGAUUUAUUGGGUUUAAAGGGUACGUAGGCGGAUUUUUAAGUCCGUGGUGAAAGCCCACAGCUUAACUGUGGAAUUGCCAUGGAUACUGGAAAUCUUGAGUUCAGUUGAGGUAAGCGGAAUUUAUGAUGUAGCGGUGAAAUGCAUAGAUAUCAUAAAGAACACCUAUUGCGAAGGCAGCUUGCUGGACUUGGACUGACGCUAAGGUACGAAAGCGUGGGGAGCGAACAGGAUUAGAUACCCCCGUAGUCC